RNAcentral lists this long non-coding RNA (1045 nucleotides) under Cricetulus griseus (Chinese hamster). Its description in RNAcentral is "lncRNA (ENSCGRG00015034246.1)". Lineage: Eukaryota; Metazoa; Chordata; Mammalia; Rodentia; Cricetidae. The record is from RNAcentral.
CACAGCCACACAGCCAGCCACGGAGUAGAAGGAAAGAAAGAUAUAUAAAAUAAAGAAAGCAGGGCUGUGAGAACCAAGCUCCCUUGAAACCAGUGCAAGGCAGCUCACUCACAGUGCUGUCUUCUCCCUCCACCCAUGGAUCCGGAGCACCAUGGCUGCUCUCUUUCCUCCUCUGGGUUAUUUGGACAGCUCAAGAAGGAAGAGCAAGUGUGACAUUCAAUUCAGAUCAAUGGACAGGCAUGGCCCACAAGUCUGACUGCAGAAAUCUCAGCGAAGGAGCCAAGAGCUGAAGACUAAAUAAGUACUAAACUGCAAGGAUGUUAAAUGGAACCCAAGAUAAAGAAAUACUGAUCCCUAAAAUCUAGAACCUUAACGAAGAUGCCCGGGAGUGAGAUGCCUAAUAUCCUUUCUAUCUUUUGCUGGAGGCAGGCUGAAUCCAAAAGACUGAUUUCUUAUCACGAAUGCCUAUGGGAAAUUAGAGAUGAACUCUUUGCUCUCACGUAGCCUCAGAGUAUCAUUAGUUCAUUUUCUGAUUUAGUUUAAUUACCAACUCUCCUCUGUAUUUAUGUACUCAUUCAUAAAUUGUUAGGAUAAACCUGUUAAUGUCCCCGGCACAAAACACUUGAUAGUUGCAACAACGCCCUAGGUUGAAUGCUAUUUCCUGCUUUGUUCAGCACAGAAGUGAAGCUCACUGAGAUUAGUGGUGUGCCUGAGAUCACAUGCUUGCUUAGUGACAGGUGCAGGAUUGGCAUCACUGUUGUUCUGAGUUCUAGUGGAAUGCAAGCUGGUGUGCAGAGGGGAAGAAGAGUGCACCCCUUCUAGUGCCUACUGCACCCCAAGGUCAUCCUUAUACACUUGAGACUGUUGACAACCGUUUUUGUUCAAAUUAGAUUGAAUUCGGACCUCUUAGGGGAAAAAAAUAGAAGAAAUAACCAAAUUGUUUCCAUAAGAUAAAAACUAUAAUGGGAAAAAAAAUGCUUUUUCUAUUUUCAUCCUACUAUGAAAAAUUGAAGUAGUUAAAAUUGCCAAAAUAGUUUCAAAAAAG